CUUAAACGGAAGUACGCAAUCCAAAUCCAACAGGAACCGGAAGUUACCUGCGUGCUCAACACUGACAUCUCUGCUAAUGGAGGACUGUUUGGAUGCGCUGCUCGUGUGAAGAUGGCCAUGUUGCCCAGCUUCACUAAGGAGGAUUUCCUCGGCCAGAACACUUUUUAAGAAGACACAUUAGGCCACUUAUUCAUGGGGAUAUUGAGAUUGAGAAAUCAGAUCGCCCAGC
This 229-nucleotide long non-coding RNA is filed under the name Gouania willdenowi (blunt-snouted clingfish). Its description in RNAcentral is "lncRNA (ENSGWIG00000020880.1)". Lineage: Eukaryota; Metazoa; Chordata; Actinopteri; Blenniiformes; Gobiesocidae. The record is from RNAcentral.